GAUCAUAGGACUUUAUUUUUAGAACUGCCGCUUGCGCUCAUUAUGAAGUACAAAAUUCAUAUAUGUACAUAUGCUUUUGUUCUCUUAGGCUAAUAGAAAAUGUCAGUUUUCCUUAUUGAUACAUUUAAUACGUAGGCUCACUUCGCUAAGUAAUUUUAUGGGGCGGUCAAAUUCAAAAUUCUGGCUCAUUUAAGCUAAAUAUUAAGACACCGCCAAAGGUAUACAACCAUAUCAAAAUUUAUCACCUACUAAAGUUUCGAGCCUAUUUUUUUCUGGGCAUUAAUGGGUUGGAAAUCAAGACUGGCAAGAGUUAAAGUGGUCACUCUCAUCAAACAACUAUGUGAAAUUAUAUACCCUUUAAACACCCAUACUCCAACAACUAACUUUUCUUCGGGCGUUCACUUCAUUAAGAACAACAACCAAAAAAAAACAACCAAAAUCCAUCCAAAUGAUAAAGAAUGACAAAUACGCGGCAAAAAUCCGGAACUACACUAAAAAUUACACAUUCCUUUCAUUCUUGAUCGUAAGAAAGGAAAUCGCCAAUAAAGAGAGAUAAAUUCAUACUCAAAUACAUCACAGACAAAGGAUAUUAAGACCACAGACAUAUGACAGGAAAAUCUAGUAAGCAGACACUAAAAAAUAGUUUACCAAAGGAAAAAUUUCUAUGUUUACCAUUCAGCAGCGACCUGUCCUUCAGCGCUACCGUUACCUACAUCAGAAUGGUUUUGCAAAGGCUGUUGUUCUUCCGAAGCAGCAGGUUUGUCAUAUGAUUCAGUGGGAGCAGAUGACUCCAUUGAUGCUUCAGGAGCAGCUGAAUAGGAUUUGGAACCUUCAUAGGCAGGGGAGCGAUUCUCUUCUCUAUCACGUCUAGGAGAAGGACUACGGCUAUAAGCGUCACGUCGAUACUCAUCAUCAUGGGAAGGGCGUCCAUCAUCACGAGAACGACGGUAUUCGUCUCGUCCAGGGCGAUAUUCAUCACCUCUAGGACGACGAUACUCAUCAUCAUGAGGACGACGAUAAUCACUUCUGGAAUUACGUCUAUACUCAUCGCGACCACCACGACGGUAUUCAUCACGAUUAUUACGCCUGUAUUCACCACGAGGAGCAUAACGACGUUCAUCAUCUCUGCCGGGACGAUAAGCGUCACGACGGUAAUCGCCUCCUCUACGAUAAUCAUCACGAUAACGACGGCGAGCAGGUGGAGAACGUGAACGGAAGCGGGAGGGUACUUCGGGAAGGGGCUCAUUAGCGGCAUCCUGCUAAUCGUUAGAAAAUUUACGCAAGGAUCUUUAAAAAAGAUUAGAUGCUUACAGGGUCUUCGCGUAAAGUAACUGCUUGGCCUUUAAUGACUUCACCAUUAAGGCUCGUCAAAGCGUUUCUCAUAUCCUCUUCAGUAGAAAAUUCAACAACACUGCAUUAAAGUUAGGUGAAAAAAUGAUCAAAGUAGAAACUUACCCAGCACCAGGGUUUUCACGGUGAGCAUCUGUGAAAGUGGGUUCACCAGCUUUACGCAUUACAUCCUUCAGGUCCUAUGAAAAGUGUUAACACUGAAAUAUAGAUAUAUGAAAAAAAUCAUGCAUUGACGCAAAGGUCAUUAAAUGUAUAAAAUUGUCUUACCUGCCAACUGACAUCUUCUGAGAGAUUUUCCACAAUCAAACGGAAACCGGUGCGACGGGGACGGGGGUAUCUGAUACGUUAGUAUAAAAAUAUUGCCGUAAUUUUUAUAGGACAAUGCGAUUUUGCAAGCGAUAACACCGUAUAUAGUCACUACUCAGAGCUGAUUCACAUGUGAAGUGAACAAAAUCGUUAGAACCAGCAAUCGCGUGCAAUGCCAAAUCGCCCACUAAUCACAUAUUAAUGGAAACGUAACAACGUACUUAGAAGCAGCACUUUCUCUAAAGUUCUCUCUUCUUCUUCUUUCACCGCGAGCAGGUUCUACAACAAUACUUCGAACAUUAGCAUAUUUUAAUCUAAAUUCAUAAUGUAUUGACUUACCGGCUGCCCAUAAACUCUUUGCCCUCUUUUUUAUAAGAUUAGUAAAUAAAGUCGAAUAUUAAACCUUUGAAGCAUACGAAAGUCUAAACUGUUAGCAAAAGUUUUAAGAUGGUAUGAACGUACCAUUUACGAUAUCACGAGCAUCGCGAGCGUCUUCAACCUACAUCAAGUUAGUCACAUAGGGAUUACAAAAAGAAGGCUAAUGGUUUUAUUUACCUCAACAAAGCCAAAUCCAUUCAUCAGCUUGCAAUCAAGGAUUUGACCGUAACCUUUAAAAAAAUCCAUCAUAUCCUCGCGAGUCGCUAAAUUUUUGUUAAAAUACUAUUUACAUUAUUUAGUUACAAACCUUGAGGAGGAAUACGGCCAACAAACAAUCUAGUCUCCGACAUUUUUUUUUGGUGUAGUUGGUUCUUGCUGGGUGAAGUUCGACCCUCAGUCGGCAGUCUUGAGGCUGAAGGCCGGCGAAACCCAAGUUACAAAAUAUAAGAUAAUGAAAUAAAAUAUAAAAUCAAAUUAAAA
Non-coding RNA from Schizosaccharomyces pombe (fission yeast), 2514 nucleotides. Lineage: Eukaryota; Fungi; Ascomycota; Schizosaccharomycetes; Schizosaccharomycetales; Schizosaccharomycetaceae. The record is from the annotation of a GenBank genome assembly.